AGAGUUUGAUCCUGGCUCAGGACGAACGCUGGCGGCGUGCUUAACACAUGCAAGUCGAACGAUGAACCACUUCGGUGGGGAUUAGUGGCGAACGGGUGAGUAACACGUGGGCAAUCUGCCCUGCGCUCUGGGACAAGCCCUGGAAACGGGGUCUAAUACCGGAUACUGACCCGCUUGGGCAUCCAAGCGGUUCGAAAGCUCCGGCGGUGCAGGAUGAGCCCGCGGCCUAUCAGCUUGUUGGUGAGGUAAUGGCUCACCAAGGCGACGACGGGUAGCCGGCCUGAGAGGGCGACCGGCCACACUGGGACUGAGACACGGCCCAGACUCCUACGGGAGGCAGCAGUGGGGAAUAUUGCACAAUGGGCGAAAGCCUGAUGCAGCGACGCCGCGUGAGGGAUGACGGCCUUCGGGUUGUAAACCUCUUUCAGCAGGGAAGAAGCGAAAGUGACGGUACCUGCAGAAGAAGCGCCGGCUAACUACGUGCCAGCAGCCGCGGUAAUACGUAGGGCGCGAGCGUUGUCCGGAAUUAUUGGGCGUAAAGAGCUCGUAGGCGGCUUGUCACGUCGGUUGUGAAAGCCCGGGGCUUAACCCCGGGUCUGCAGUCGAUACGGGCAGGCUAGAGUUCGGUAGGGGAGAUCGGAAUUCCUGGUGUAGCGGUGAAAUGCGCAGAUAUCAGGAGGAACACCGGUGGCGAAGGCGGAUCUCUGGGCCGAUACUGACGCUGAGGAGCGAAAGC
RNAcentral lists this ribosomal RNA (736 nucleotides) under uncultured bacterium. RNAcentral's name for it is "bacterial SSU rRNA". It matches the Rfam family "Bacterial small subunit ribosomal RNA", at positions 8 to 760 of the family's 1533-position model. The record is from RNAcentral.